AACGCGAAGAACCUUGGCCGAGCUCGGAAUGCAAUCGACGAUCUAUGAAAGUAGAUUUCCAGCAAUGGCGAUUGUGUAGGUGCUGCAUGGUUGUCGUCAGCUCGUGCCGUGAGGUGUCGGCUUAAGUGCCAUAACGAGCGCAACCCACAUUAUUAGUUACUAACAGGUUAAGCUGAGGACUUUAAUAAGACUGCCGGCGUAAGCUGUGAGGAAGGUGUGGAUGACGUCAAAUACAGUCGGCCCUUACGUCCGGGGCGACACACGUGUUACAAUGGGUGGUACAAAGGGGAGCUACUGUGCGAGCAGAUGCUAAUCUCCAAAGCCACUCCCAGUUCGGAUCGGAGUCUGCAACUCAACUCCGUGAAGCUGGAUUCGCUAGUAAUCGCGCAUCAGCCAUGGCGCGGUGAAUACGUUCCCGGGCCUUGUACACACCG
This 434-nucleotide ribosomal RNA is filed under the name uncultured bacterium. RNAcentral describes it as "bacterial SSU rRNA". It matches the Rfam family "Bacterial small subunit ribosomal RNA", at positions 958 to 1392 of the family's 1533-position model. The record is from RNAcentral.